RNAcentral lists this long non-coding RNA (449 nucleotides) under Vombatus ursinus (common wombat). Its description in RNAcentral is "lncRNA (ENSVURG00010008582.1)". Lineage: Eukaryota; Metazoa; Chordata; Mammalia; Diprotodontia; Vombatidae. The record is from RNAcentral.
UGGGCAAGUCACUUAAACCCUGUUUGCCUCAGUUUCUUCUUCAGUAAAAUGAGCUACAGAAGAAAAUGACAAACUACAUCUUUGCCAAGAAAACCCCAAAUGGGGUCAUGAAGAGUUGAACACAACUGAAAUGACUGAACAACAACCUGGACUCCUCCAUCAAUGAAAAGGAUGCACAGGGCUCUCUCAUUCACUGCUAUUUCAUGAUGGCCCACUGAUUGCUGGGAAGACAGCUGGAGUCCUUCCAUUGAAGAGCAAGCUGACAGACACAGCCCUCUAGAGAGACCUAGAAAAAAUAAGUUUUUCCCAGCGGUGGACCUAUUUUGAAGCUCCUUUAUUGUUGAUCAGCAUCAAAGGAAUUUUUUCUGGAUGUAACUGUAGCUUCCUGAAGUGAUUUUCCAGCCCAAGAGAUCAGCAGUUAUGUGCUUACACAGAUGCCAGCAGUGCCU